UAGCUCAGGUGGUCAGAGCACACGACUCAUAAUCGUGGUGUCGUGGGUUCGAGUCCC
RNAcentral lists this transfer RNA (57 nucleotides) under Thermus islandicus. RNAcentral's name for it is "tRNA-Met". It matches the Rfam family "tRNA", at positions 8 to 61 of the family's 71-position model. Rfam says of the family: Transfer RNA (tRNA) molecules are approximately 80 nucleotides in length. Their secondary structure includes four short double-helical elements and three loops (D, anti-codon, and T loops). Further hydrogen bonds mediate the characteristic L-shaped molecular structure. tRNAs have two regions of fundamental functional importance: the anti-codon, which is responsible for specific mRNA codon recognition, and the 3' end, to which the tRNAs corresponding amino acid is attached (by aminoacyl-tRNA synthetases). tRNAs cope with the degeneracy of the genetic code in two manners: having more than one tRNA (with a specific anti-codon) for a particular amino acid; and 'wobble' base-pairing, i.e. permitting non-standard base-pairing at the 3rd anti-codon position. Lineage: Bacteria; Thermotogati; Deinococcota; Deinococci; Thermales; Thermaceae. The record is from RNAcentral.